This 254-nucleotide ribosomal RNA is filed under the name uncultured bacterium. Its description in RNAcentral is "partial 16S ribosomal RNA". It matches the Rfam family "Bacterial small subunit ribosomal RNA", at positions 524 to 776 of the family's 1533-position model. The record is from RNAcentral.
CACGUAGGGGGCGAGCGUUGUCCGGAUUUAUUGGGCGUAAAGAGCUCGUAGGCGGCUCAGUAAGUCAGGUGUGAAACCUCCAGGCUCAACCUGGAGACGCCACCUGAUACUGCUGUGGCUUGAGUCCGGUAGGGGAGUGUGGAAUUCCUGGUGUAGCGGUGAAAUGCGCAGAUAUCAGGAGGAACACCAGCGGCGAAGGCGGCACUCUGGGCCGGUACUGACGCUGAGACGCGAAAGCGUGGGGAGCGAACAGG